CAGCAGAUUCAUCAGUGCAGAGGUAUCAGCUGAUAACACAACACAUAUACCACAAAGAGAAACAAAGGCAACAGGGAUGUGUUCUCCAAAAUACUGAAGGAUUAGGACAGAAGUAGCAGCAGAAGCCAAGAGAACCAAAGAAAAGAUUGAUUCCUGGCAUCUGCUGAAUGGAUACAUGCCCCAAACUUGUUGACUUAGAUCUAAGAAGAAUUUUAUGGCGGGAACAAAUAUGUUUGAAGGUGUGCAGGUCCAAAACCGAAUUAGAAGAUGAAGGAGAAAAUUUACGGAACAAGAUCCCAGAAGAGAACAUGGCUGAGGGAUCAGAUCUCUCCUGUGUUACAUGGAUGACAUUGAAUAGGUUGAGGGUGGGAGUGCCUAAGGGUAAGACCAAUAUGCUCAAGUGGGGGUUGCUGGCAGAUAAUACAUAAUGCAAAUGCAGAGUCCACCCCAUUUGUUGGUCAGUCAAACAUGAAAGAAAGAAAAUCUAAGUCCUUCUCAAUAAUAUUGAAUAACAAAGAACUCUGGACACAGUUCUGGAGAUGUCCAUUGACACAUCCUUCUAAGCCUCGGAAGAACCAGUAACUCCAUCCCAGCAUCCAAAGAACAUAUGGACUCCAAUUUGACCCUGUUUAAAUGAGCCCUUAAAACUGGCUCUUCUCUGGGCCUUAGAUUAGAAUGGUUGGGAAAUGCUUUGGUGGUGUUGCUGUUAUUUUUCUAAAUGUUUGUUUUUAAGGACAGGUUUUGGAAGGGAAGGGAACCCCUCUCCUUCUGUCACAGAGAUUAAGAUGUUUUACAACCUUUAGGACUGCCUUUUACUCCUCUGUAGGGCUAUGGUAGAGUUAGGUGAAAUUGGAACUAAAAAUGGAUCCAACCAUGAUACAUGCACUAACAGAAUUUUCCAUACAGAGACCUGUUCACAUUCUACCAUCCAUAUAGUUCUCUCUUUAAUCUUUUGGGAAUUUACCUAGUCUCCUUUAAAAAACCUUCCAAAUUAAUAGCCAUCACCAUGUCUGAUGGUACUGAUUCCUACAAUAUAAUUUCUUUCAUCAGAAUCCUGGUUCAGUGAAAGAAAUCUCUUCCCUUUUGUAGACAUUUGCACUGAACAUGCACAUAUCUGCAAGAAAACUGAUGACAUUAGAACCUCAAUAUCAGUGGCUGAGGAUGGUGGAUAUUUAAAGAGGAUUUAUAAAGAGAAAACAGAUUCCUGGGGAUCAGUUCCUAGAUUUUUCAUUUGGGGGGGGGGUUAUUUUAUGGUUCAUGAUUUUAUAAUUAUUGAUUGUGUUGCUGUGAGAUAUCCAGAGUUGUAUUUAAGAUGGGUGGCCAUACAAAUCUUUUAAAUAAAUCGUUAAAUAACAAUA
This is a long non-coding RNA of Thamnophis elegans (Western terrestrial garter snake), 1358 nucleotides long. RefSeq lists it as uncharacterized. The record is from RefSeq and is a predicted model, not a curated record. Lineage: Eukaryota; Metazoa; Chordata; Lepidosauria; Squamata; Natricidae. The transcript has 2 exons.